This is a long non-coding RNA of Leopardus geoffroyi (Geoffroy's cat), 10272 nucleotides long. RefSeq lists it as uncharacterized. The record is from RefSeq and is a predicted model, not a curated record. Lineage: Eukaryota; Metazoa; Chordata; Mammalia; Carnivora; Felidae. The transcript is spliced from 3 exons.
UGGGGGAGGGGCGGGGCGGGCCGCGCGAGACCCGGGAAACAUGGCUGCUCGUCCUAUUUCGGCGUCGCGGCGUGGCCACCAGCCCCCGGAUCCGAGUUGGGAGAGGCUCCGAAGAGGCUCCCGCGCCGGCGGAAUUCAAUCAAUAAACCCCGAACCCACGGCCGCGCGUUUUAGGACUUUGAAGGCUCAACCAGCUCCGCUCGGUUCUCGAGCCCCCAGCACCCGCGGCGCACACUAACCUGAUCACGGUGGAGGCGGGACCUGCGGGCCGGCGGAUGAGCGGCAACAGCUGGAGCCAAUCGCCGCCGAGGGUCUCCGGGCAACAGCCAAUGGUGGCAGCGGCGGGGGGGGAAGGGACCAAUGGGCGGGCUGCGCAGCCGGCCAGGGAGGCUCAGCCAUUUGGUUGUGGUGCCGGAGACGGACCCCUUUAGAUUUCGGGGCGGCUGAGGAGCGCGGCGGCUGCUUGGUGGCUGAGCUAGGGGGGUGGGCAGAAUGGCGGGGGAAGGGAAGGUGACUGCGCCUCGAGAGCCUAGCCGCUCGGCCUCGCCAGCCCGCCGCCGCCGCCUCAGCGUUUGGCCGGGGGCGGGGCCGCAGGUGCGUUACUCGAGGGGGAGGGGCGCGGCCGGAGGGGUCGGGGUCGGGAUCCUCGCAGGGCCGAGGGCUUCGCGGGGACGCCCUGGGCCUGCCCGCCUCGCUGGAGCGGGUUGGUGAAAGAGGUGGACGUCCGGCGCGAGGUCUCGGGGCCGCGGGCUGCCCCGCGGGCUGGCUGAUGAAAGGCCUGGAAAGAGGGGGGAGGGGUCAAGGGUGCAGUGGGAGGAGGGGCUGGUCAUUUUCUGGGUCCGGAGGGCCGAGCGGUGGAGCGUGGCUGCUGCCCUCCACCCCCUCCGCGGGUUCCCACCCCCCCGGCUGCGGCUCACAGCCCGCGCGCCCCUUCGCCUCCCGCCUCGUCCUCGUCCAGCCGCGGCCAUCGCCGCCCCUCUAAUAAACAAGUAAAUGAAAGCAAGAUGCGUCCACCUUUGGAUGACUUUCCUCGCGGUCUUGACCCUCUCUACGGAGGGGCCUUUCAAUUUGCUGUCAUGUAAGGUCAGCCUGGAAGGAGCGAUCACCAAGAGGCACCCAGGAUCUUGUUCAGCCAAUAAAUGAAUGGAGACCAUGGAUUAAGAGUUGUUGCUGAAUAUACUGAAUAUUAAAAAAAAAAAAAAAAAAAGUGAAAAGGGAAGGUGCUAAUAACUUCUGGUUUUCUGGUCCAAACAUAAUUUGAUGGGCUUUGUAGACCUAGUGAAAGGAAACGGCGCACAGUUUAUUCUAAUCGUCCACCUGACUCAUUUGGUUCAAUUUGGGUUGCCCAAGAGGCUCUAUUUGGAGCACUUUCUCCAGGUUUUACGGUUUGCUUGCUUUGGGUUUUUUUUUUUGUUUUGUUUUGUUUUGUUUUGUUUUGUUCUGUUUUGUCAUCACAUUAGUUUUUAGACCUUAAAGCCUUCAUCCCCACUGGGUUACCUACUUCUUAUGGCCAGGCCUUGGACCUUGUCAUGUACUAGGUUGGCUGCCUAUGGCUGUUAAUAAAUCAUGGGGAAUUGUUGUCAACAAGGACGGAUCCAUCGUUACCCUUCCACACAAGUGUUUUUCAGUGCUUCUAUUUCUGUGUGUCCACACUUUUCCUUAUACACGCCAAGGUGGUUUUUAGGUGGGGAUACAUUGUAUUUUAUUUUUCAGGCACAUGGGUUCAAGGGAGCGAUAAAGCAGUAUGUAUGUUGCAAAUUUGAAAUAUUGUUACAUAACACCAAUACAGUUUCAUUCUUGAGCGUAUAAAGUUGAGGAGGAAAUAGAAAGUGACGGAAUGUAAAUAAAACGCAGAGAAUGCUCACACUGGGGAAGAAACUGUAGUAACUCUGAUACUGUAACCUGAUGGAUUGUAAUCUUAAAAUCCUACAGCCAAGCAUUGUACUCGGUAAAUUUUUCUUUCAGAUAAAAUAAUAAGUGGAAUUUGAAAAGUGAUAACGUUUACCCUGAGUAGCUGGGAAAUCCAAAAUAAAAAUGGAAAGCCAUUGUUUUAUUUCAUCGGGGUAGUAGCGUGUAAUGUAUUUGACUUGUUGACUUAGCCCACAUGUUUGUCUUCCUCAGUUUUUAUAAUCUCGUUGAACUCAGUUUGUGUAGUUGGAAUUUAUUUAUUUGUAAACUGUAUUGGCUUUGUUAUAGGACAUACAGGGACCCUAAAUUACCUCUCUUUGCCAGAGUCAGUUGUUAUUUCUGGAUAUAGCAUUUAAGGUGGUUUCGAAACAGCUUUUCAUCACAUACAUUAAGUCAAUAUGAUGUGUAGAAGAUAUGUAACAGAGGAGUACUGAAGGUUAUGUUCUAUUUGAUGGUAAAUGCUUGUCUUCAAUUUGAAUUUUUAACCACAGUUAAGUCCACACUGCUAGCAAUGUGAUAGGGAAACAGGGCCUUUCCAGAGGACUAAUCCUUUAAAAGCCAACCAAUCAAAUGCAGAGAUGUUCCCUUAUCCAGCUCUGCUGAACAGAAGCAAAUAGCUCACCUUGUCACACAAAGAUUGCAGAAGAUGACUUGGAAGCCUAAACCCCCGUGAAAGAGAGUUACAGGACAAAUUAAGGUUACAAUUGAAAAAAAUUGUGGUUUGGUCACUAAGUCAAAAUAUCAAGCAACAAUUGUUUUUAGAAGGAUCUUUUAAACAUUUUGAUAGCAGAUUUUGUAUUGGUGCCAGAGAAUUGAAAGAAGACUUCACUAGAUUCCAAUCGUACAGAAGUUGAAAUAUCCAAAAAGUAUAUAUAACCAAUUGAAUACUUAACUUCCCAUCUUCCAACAUACUUUUUUUAAAAGAUUUUUUUUUAAGUAAUCUCUAUACCCAACAUGGGCUCUAACUCACAACCCCAAGAUCAAGAGACACUUGCUCUCCCACAGAGCCAGCCAGGUGCCCCUCCAACAUACUUUGAAAGGACAGACUUCCUCUCACUUCCACAAAUAGAUUUGUUUGUAGUUUUUUUCUAAGAAAAUUUUAAUGAUUCUGACUUUUUCUUACCAAAAGGAAAUGGAAAUUUCACUCUAAAGCUGAGCCAUUUACCCCAUGCCACUUGACAAAAAAAAAAAAGAAAAGAAAAAAGAACUCUUAAUAUUCCUUAUUUUAUGGAGUUGUUUCUUAAAUUACAUUUCAUUGCAUAAUAUAGUAUUAAACAAACGCUCUGAAUGAUUCUGAAUAUCAGAAGAUAGAGUAAGAAAAGGGCAUUCUAUAGUGGGAGUUCGGUUAUAAAAGUUGCAGUCUGUAACUUCUGGAGCUGGAUUUGAUUCACACUGAGAAGAAUAAAUGAGCUACAAUUCAAAGGCUUGAGCCCAUAGGGAGAAAGAUGGCCUUCAAGUAAGGAAAGAUGUCUUCCUGCCUUCCAGGAUAUUCUAGAAUGUUUUUCCUUCAAGAACCAUUCCAAAUAGAUGAGCAUCCUAUGUUCUCUAAGAGGUCUGAUCUGAGCAAUGGAUGUCUUAGCUUCUUGAUACAUGUUGGAAAGUACUGUUUUAUAAAUAACCCACAGUGAGGCUGCCGCCAUGUAAGCUCAUUUGCCCUUGCUUGGUGUCCAAAGAUGGAGGCCCUCUGGUUAGCAUUCUUUUUAGGAGUUGAACGAAUGUAUUCACAGUUCAACUUUUCGUUCUUCAGCCCGAAUCACAUACAUUGGAACCUGGCCAUUGUACUUUUUCACCUACAUCAUGGUUCUGCUGCCUGGACCCCAAAAGACAAUGAUAUGGAAAGACUCCAGCUUAAUUAUGUUCUCUUUUGUCUUUCUAUAUAAAUAGCUUUUAGAAAUGUAGAUUAUUCUUUUGAAAUCCAUGGUAACAAAUGUGAAGACUACUGCAUUUUGGUUUGAAUAGCAAAAGACUGUUGAGGUCCAGGAUCUAAAAAGUUAACUAUUAAUUCUUUUGCUUAAUAAAGCUUUGAGUGGUUUUAUUUUUUAAAUUAUUGAAUAGUUACUUUUUCAAUGGGUUGGGCAUAGAGAAAAAGCACUGCUAGAUGAAAAGUCAUUCCAUGUGAUUUUUAAAAUUAAAUUAAUAGUAAAAAUUUUAAAGCCACCUUAAGGAUGCUUUAUUUUGAAAAGGAAAAAAAAAAAAUCAACAUCACCUGCACACUAGUUUGGAAAUCACUAGAGUUUUUUUGAAUCUGAUUCUUAAAUAUAUUUAUUAAAGAUAAUUCGGGGGUUUCAAUAAGAGAAAGUUGAUUACCAUUCACCAAGAAUACCAGAACUAUAAGCUCUGGCGUCUGGUAUUAAAAUAUGACUAAAAAUAGAUGCCUUAAAGGCAAAUAAUGGAAUGAGAAGCCAUUAGAACAAGACUGUGACUAAGGGUAAGCUAGGCUGAAAAAACAGAAUUGCAAUUAAUUUCGAACUUACUAUUUGUUUUAUUUUAUUUUUUUCCUUAAGUAGACUGCAUGCCCAGUGCUGAGCCCAACAUGGGGCUUGAACACACAACCCUGGGAUCAAGACCUGAGCUGAGAUCAAGAGUCAGAUGCUUAAUCGACUGAGCCACCCAGGCACCCCCCUACUCAUUUGUUGUAAUCUAUCUGCAGUUGAAGUUUGCCACUGAAGAAAAAGGUUCCCACCCAAGGAUUGAAUUGUCUUAAAAGCAAUUCGUAAGAGAGAUGGGAAUUACAGAGCUCACUAACUCUAAUUUUGUGUCUAUGCCAAUUUUAAAGAGGAUACACAAUUUUCCUUCCUUUGGGUUUUGCAUUCUUCAAAAAGCAAGAAGGAAUGAGAUGGCAAAGCUCAACGAUGUGAAACCAUGAAACUCCUAGAAGAAAACAUAAUGGGUAAACUCCUUGACAUUGGUCUUGACAAUGACUUUUUGGAUGUGACACCAAAAGCAAAAGCGACCAAAGCAAAAAUAAAUAGGCGGGACUACAUCAAGCUAAAAAGCUUCUGCACAGCAAAGGAAACCAUCAGCAAAUGAAAAGGCAACCUACAAAAUGGGAGGAAAUAUUUGUAAACCAUACAUCUGAGAAGGGGAUAAUAUCCAAAAUAUAUAAAGAACACAUACAACUGAAUAACAAACGAUCCAAUGAUAAAAAAUGGACGGAGUGGGGUGCCUGGCUCAGUCGGUGGAGCAUACAACUCUUGAUCUCAGGGUUGUGGGUUGAAGCCCCACGUUGGGUGUAGAGAUUGCUGAAAAAUAACAUCUUUUAAACAAACAGAUGGGAAGAGGAUCCGAAUAGACAUUUUCCAAAGAAGACCUACAAAUGGCCAACAGGUACAUGAAAAGGUACUCAACAUCACUAAUCAUCAGGGAAAUGCAAAUCAAAACCACACAGAGAUAUCACCUCACACCUAUCCAGAAGGUCUAGUAUCGAAAAGACAAGAGAUAACAAGCGUUGGUGAGGAUGUGUGAGGAAAGGGAACCCUCGUGCACUGUUGGAAAUGUAAAUUGGUGAAGCCACUAUGGAAAAUAGUAUGGAGUUUCCUCAAAAAAUUAAAAAAAGAGCUACCAUAUGAUCCAACAAUUCCACUUCUGGAAUAUAUCUGAAGGAAAGGAAAUUGUUAUCUUGAAAAGAUAUCUGUACCCUCACAUUCACUGCAGCAUUAUUUACAGUAGCUAAGACAUGGAAAUAACCUAAGUGUGCAUCAGUGGAUGAAUGCAAAAGAAAAAUGUGAGACCUAUCUGUUUAUCUAUCUAUAACUCAGUCAUAAAAAAGUAGGAAAUUUUGCAACAACACGGACAGAACUUGGAAGUAUGCUAACUCGUUGUAAGUGGAAUAAGUCACACAGAGAAAGAAAUAUUAUAUGAUCUCACUUAGGUGGGGAAUCUUAAAAAAACCAAAGUCAUAGGUACAGACAAUAAGAUUGUGGUUGUCGGAGGGAGGGGUCAGGAGGUUGGACAAAAUGUGUGAAGGUAGUCAAAUGGUAUAAACUUCCAGUUUAUAAGCUCUGGGGAUUUAUUGUACAGCAUGGUGACUGUAGUUACUACUGUAUCAUAUAUUGAAAAGCUGCUAAGAGAGUAGAUCUUAAAAGUUCUCAUCACACACACACACACACACACACACAAUUGUAACCAUUUGUGGUGAUGGAAGCUGACGAAACUUACUGUGGUGAUCAUUUUGCAAUAUGUGCAUAUAUCGAAUCAUCAUGUUACACCCCUACAGCUAAUACCAUGUUAUGUGUUCAUUAUAUCUCAAUACAACCGGGAAAAAAAAAUUCUGAUUUUUUUGAAAAAGAGGGAACGAGACGACAAAGCUCGUCUGUUUCACUCUCCUUUAACAGCUGGAGUUCUGAGCACUUGUACUGCCAUGUUCUGUCUCUGACCAAAGAAAUCUAAUUUCCACCUCUCAUGGUCUAUAAAUAUGAACAUCAGUGUGUCAGUGUUGCAGGCUUACUCCAAUUAUAUGAACAGGAAAUUUAGCAAAGGUGAGGAUGAGUAUAUUUGAUUAAGCUAUUCAUUGUUUUAUGGAAGGUGUGAAAAUAAAGGACUUUCGACGUGGGAUUUGAAUUUGACAGAGACUAUUUGGUAAGAGGCUUUAUGUGUUUAGCCUCACACUAGAGUGAGAGAUGAGAAAAAACAGAACGGUUCUUUAAAUUAAUUCCUUUUAAAAAAUGAAUUCUCUUGACUUCCAGCUCUAGUUGUGAUUGAGUGCCUGACAUUGGACUCACCUUCCCGCUGUAAACAACAAUAGAAGCUAGACAAUUGUAUAAGACAACAACUGCGGGCUUUGAACAGAAACCAAGGCAGGGUUAUUACCCUUCAGAAAAGGGAAGCGCAUGAGGUCAGCCUUGCAUUCAUCCCAGCACAGGGACGUGGAGCCCAGGCAGGGAGCAGCAACGUCUCUGGGCAGAGGAAACAGAGGUCAGAGCACAAGCCCUCUAACACUGCUGGGUGUGGAGGGCAAGGUGCUUGGGAGGAGGGAGUUGCAGAGAAGGAAUCCUCCACAAUUGCAUCCAAACUUCCCCUGAGUACUUGGCCCACUGGUAAGCUGUGUAUGAGCAGGGCAAGACUCCAGGAGACCCAGCAGGGAACAGUUUCCAGGAGGCGAUUGCCAAACAGACUUCAGAGGCUUCACUAUCAGGGGAAGGAGACAGGGGAGGUUAGGCCCAGCCUAAUGCAGAAUGUAUAAACAUUCAUGAGUACGGAGGCACGCAUGGAGACCCCAGAAAGGUCACACCCCGGGAUUGAGGACCAUGAAAUAUCAACGUCAACAGAAGUUUGGAUUCCAGUCCACGUGGAGGACUUGGAGGGGUCAAGUCUUCAGUGGAAGAAGUAACUGCGGAUGUGGUAGAAAUAGCAAGAGAACUGGAAUUAGAAGUGGAGUCUGAAGAUGGGGCUGAAUGGCUGCAGUCUCAGGAUAGAACUUAAUGGAUGAGGAGCUGCUUCUCAUGGGUGAGCAAAGAAGGCGGUUUCUUGAGAUGGAAUCCACUUCCGGCGAAGAUGCUGUGAAGAUGGUUGGAAUGACAACAAAGGAUUUAGAAUAUGACACAAAGUUAGUUGAUAAAGCAGCAGCAGGGUUUGAAAGGAUAGAUUCCAAUCUUGAAAGACUAAAAGAUAGAUUUCCAAUUUUGAAAAUGCCAUGAAACAGCCUCACAUGCUGCAGAGAAAUCGUUUACGAAAGAAAGAGUCAGUCAUUGUGGCAAACUUUGUUGUUGUCUUACUUGAAGAAAUUGCCACAGCCACCCCACCCUUCAGUCAUUACUGCCCUGAUCAGUCAGCAGCCAUCAACAUCAAACAAGACCAUCCACCAGCAAAAAGUUGAUGACUCACUAAAAGCUCAUGUGAUGGUUAGCAUUUUUUAGCAGCAAAGUAUUUUUUACUUAAUGUACAUUGUUUUUUAGACAUGAUACUAACUGCACACUUAAUAGACUAUAGUGUAAAUAAGCAUAACUUAUCUGUGCACUGGGAAACCAAAAAAAUCACUUGAAUCUUUAUUGUUUUAUUCACUUUAUUGUGGUGGUCUGGAACUAAAGCCAUAGUACCUCUGGUAUGCCUAUAUACUGCAAACUAUGAACAUUGUGAGAAGAUUUAGCAAAGACCUAAAUAAAAUGAAAUGUGUGAUGGUCAUUGAAUUAAAAAUUUGAUAUUAUUAAGAUGGCAGUUUUCCCCAAUUUGACCUAUAGAUUCAACAUAGUCCUUUUUUUAAAAUUUCAUUAAUUUUUUUUAAUGUUUAUUUUUGAGAGAGAGAAAGAGCGCACAUGUGCACGGAAGUGGGAGGGGGCAGAGAGAGGGAAACACAGAAUCUGAAGCAGGCUCCAGGCUCUGAGCUGGAGUACAGAGCCCGAUGAGGUGCUCGAACUCACAAACCAUGAGAUCAUGACCUGAGCCAAAGUCGUACGCUUACUUGACUGAGCCACCCAGGCACCUUAGAUUCAACACAGUCCUAAUCAAAUUCCCAAGUAGCAUUUUUUGGCUAAUCAACAAGCUGAUUCUACAAUUUAUAUGGAAACCCAAAGGACCUAGCAGAAACAAUCUUGAAAAAGAAAACAAAAGUGAAGGACUUACACUACCUGAUUAUAAUGUUACAAUAAUCAAGUACAACAGGGGUGUUGGUAUCUUAGUAAACUACAGAUCAAUGUAACAGUAUAGAGAAUACAGAAACUAAUCCACAUGUAUACAAUAAUUGUUUUUUGACAAAAGAUUCAAGGUCAUUCAUUAGAAAAUGAAAAUCUUUUUUAACAAAAAGUAUAGGUACAACUGGGUAUCUGCAUGGAAAAAAAUAACCUUGGCCUUUGUCUCACAGCAUAAACAAACAUGAAUUUGGGGUGGAUCAGAGAUCUAAACAUAAAAUCUAAAUUUUAAAGCUUUUAAAAGGAAACACAGAAGAAUAUCUUCAUGAGCUUGGAGUAGGCAGAUAUUUUGGAUGGAAUACAGAAACACUAGCCAUGAAAUUAAAACUCAUAAGUUGGACUUCAUAAAAAGUAAAAAUUUCACCAUUAAGAUAAUAAAAAGGCAAGCCACAGAGUGGUUGAAUACAUUCUCAAUGUAUACGUUUAAAAAGGACCUGAAUCCAGAAUAUAUGAAGAACUCUCUCAAAUCAAGUAGACACCUGACAAAAGAAGAUGUAUGAAUGGCCAAUAAGCACGUAAAAGAAGCUUAUAUCAUUAAUCAGAGAUAUGCACUCUAAAAACAUAAAGACUAUGUCAUACCCUAUAGAAUAAUUAAAAUUUAAAGGAAUGACAAUAGGUCCAUACCCCUUGCUCUGUCCCUUCACUUUCCAAAUGAUUCAGUCCUAAAAUCAUUAUGUAGAACAGAGCAAGGUAGGUGCCACAUGAUGGAGAUUUGGGGGAAGGGGCAGCCUCAUUGGGUUAGAACAGUGUAUCAGGACUCUAGCAGGGUGAGGGGGCAGGCAUGUUUAGGAACAGUUCAACAUGGCAUAUUAGAGCAUAAGCAACUUGGGACAGGUGCUCACACAGAGGGAAGCCCGGUAUUAGAUGUCAGAGGCUACAGAGGAAGAGCCCAGAGUCCAUAAUGGGAGAUAGCCUAACAUGGGGAGUUAGAGCCCAAGCUGAGUGAGAAGGUAUCUGUGUGAGGGUGACCCAGCAUGGAAGUCAGAGCCUAAGUGGACUAAGGAGGUCAUCCACUUGGACAGGUGGCCCAAAGCAGGGUCUCAGAACCUGAGCAAGGAGAGGAGGGUAUCCUGGUAGAAAUAGUGAGAAGGGUGACCACACUGGGGAGGAGAUAGCAGUGGACAUGGGAGAUUGGAUAUAUUCAGUGUAUUGAUCAAAUAUGAAUAUAAUGAUAACAUAUGUCAGAGAAAAGAGCUAAAAAUAUGGAAAGUGGAAAAACAAAAGUGAACCCCACCGUAUGAGUUGUGUUAAAAUUGGAAGUAUUGGUGUAGACUCAUGGUUUUCAAUCAAUGUAAAGGGGGUAUGGAAAUAAACAUAGAUGUAAGUGUGUGCAUAGGUGUGUGUGUGUGUGUGUAUGUAUCCAUCCACAUAUUCCCUAGUUUUCUCCUGAGAGAGGCCUUGGAGCAGUGAUAUGCUAAUAACAAUGAGCACAUGAAGUGCCUAAAUCUUGGUUUCUAAAUACCAUCUUCCAUUAAAAGAAACAAAGACUCCUUGGAUAAAUGGCUGAUUCCAGAGGUAGGCAGAAAAAGUUCACGGCAAUAGUGAAUGUUCUUGUGCCAGAAAGCAGAGAAUUGUUCCAGGAAUGAUAGGGACAUUUCAAAAGGACACAGAAGUCACUUUAUAGGGCCAAAUAUGGUACAAUUUGAGUAUCAAAAUAAACAUUGAUAGUAAGAGAUUAUUACCUACUGAAGAACAUUGGAAAACACAAGUCCAUGCAGAUAUAAAUUAAUAAAUGAACAAA